Molecule: ribosomal RNA, 630 nt
Filed under: Pseudomonas sp. WP8
Lineage: Bacteria; Pseudomonadati; Pseudomonadota; Gammaproteobacteria; Pseudomonadales; Pseudomonadaceae
Description: bacterial SSU rRNA
Rfam family: Bacterial small subunit ribosomal RNA
Source: RNAcentral
UGCAGUCGAGCGGAUGAAGAGAGCUUGCUCUCUGAUUCAGCGGCGGACGGGUGAGUAAUGCCUAGGAAUCUGCCUGGUAGUGGGGGACAACGUUUCGAAAGGAACGCUAAUACCGCAUACGUCCUACGGGAGAAAGCAGGGGACCUUCGGGCCUUGCGCUAUCAGAUGAGCCUAGGUCGGAUUAGCUAGUUGGUGAGGUAAUGGCUCACCAAGGCGACGAUCCGUAACUGGUCUGAGAGGAUGAUCAGUCACACUGGAACUGAGACACGGUCCAGACUCCUACGGGAGGCAGCAGUGGGGAAUAUUGGACAAUGGGCGAAAGCCUGAUCCAGCCAUGCCGCGUGUGUGAAGAAGGUCUUCGGAUUGUAAAGCACUUUAAGUUGGGAGGAAGGGCAUGCACCUAAUACGUGUGUGUCUUGACGUUACCGACAGAAUAAGCACCGGCUAACUCUGUGCCAGCAGCCGCGGUAAUACAGAGGGUGCAAGCGUUAAUCGGAAUUACUGGGCGUAAAGCGCGCGUAGGUGGUUCGUUAAGUUGAAUGUGAAAUCCCCGGGCUCAACCUGGGAACUGCAUCCAAAACUGGCGAGCUAGAGUAUGGUAGAGGGUGGUGGAAUUUCCUGUGUAGCGGU